Molecule: non-coding RNA, 364 nt
Organism: Neochlamydia sp. EPS4
Lineage: Bacteria; Pseudomonadati; Chlamydiota; Chlamydiia; Parachlamydiales; Parachlamydiaceae
Source: Rfam
CUGGGAAGAGAGGCAAUCGCUCUUAUUUUUUAAGUAAGGGAGGAAAGUCUGGACUUCAUAGGAGAGGAUACCAGCGAAAAGCUGGGGGCCGUAAGGCUACGGAAAGUGUAACAGAAAAUAUACCGCUGUUUAACUUUUGUUAAAUAGACAGGGUGAAAUGCUAACUUUAAGAGGAAGCUCUACUUGAGGAGACUCAAGAGAUGACAAACCCUAUCCGAAGCAAGACCGAAUUAAAGCUAUAUAGUUCUCCGCUAUGCUUUAUAAGGGUCGCUUGAGCAUGUUAGUGAUAAUGUGCCUAGAUGAAUGAUUGCCCAACGGUCGUAAGACCGUGAGACAGAAUCCGGCUUAAAAUCUUCCCAGACUU